This 254-nucleotide ribosomal RNA is filed under the name uncultured bacterium. RNAcentral's name for it is "partial 16S ribosomal RNA". It matches the Rfam family "Bacterial small subunit ribosomal RNA", at positions 524 to 776 of the family's 1533-position model. The record is from RNAcentral.
UACGUAGGGGGCGAGCGUUGUCCGGAUUUAUUGGGCGUAAAGAGCUCGUAGGCGGUUUGGCAAGUCGGGUGUGGAAACUCCGGGCUCAACUCGGAGACGCCACUCGAUACUGCUAUGACUCGAGUCCGGUAGGGGAGUGCGGAAUUCCUGGUGUAGCGGUGAAAUGCGCAGAUAUCAGGAGGAACACCGGUGGCGAAGGCGGCACUCUGGGCCGGUACUGACGCUGAGGAGCGAAAGCGUGGGGAGCGAACAGG